Non-coding RNA from Macaca mulatta (Rhesus monkey), 409 nucleotides. NCBI's taxonomy places the organism in Eukaryota, Metazoa, Chordata, Mammalia, Primates, Cercopithecidae. The record is from the annotation of a RefSeq genome assembly.
UAAAGAAGCCCCUGGGAACACAGCUCAUCACCAUGGACUUGACCUGGAGGCUCCUCUUUGUGGUGGCAGCAGCUACAGGUGCCCAGUCCCAGGUCCAGCUGGUGCAGUCCGGGGCUGAGGUGAAGAAGCCUGGGGCCUCAGUGAAGCUCUCCUGCAAGGCUUCUGGAUACACCUUCAGCAUCUAUGCCAUCAGUUGGGUGCGACAGGCCCCUGGACAAGGGCUUGAGUGGAUGGGAGGGAUCAUCCCUCUUGUUGGUAUAACAAACUACGCACAGAAGUUCCAGGGCAGAGUCACGAUUACCGCGGACACGUCCACAAGCACAGCCUACAUGGAGCUGAGCAGCCUGAGAUCUGAGGACACGGCCGUGUAUUACUGUGCGAGAGGCACAGUGUGAAAACCACAUCCUGA